AACGAACGCUGGCGGCAGGCUUAACACAUGCAAGUCGAACGCUGUAGCAAUACAGAGUGGCGCACGGGUGAGUAAUACUUGGGAAUAUGCCUUUUAGUUGGGAAUAACCACUGGAAACGGUGGCUAAUACCCGAUACGCCCUCCGGGGGAAAGAUUUAUCGCUAAAAGAUUAGCCCAAGCCAGAUUAUGGUAGUUGGUGAGGUAAUGGCUCACCAAGCCUACGAUCUGUAGCUGGUCUGAGAGGACGACCAGCCACACUGGAACUGAGACACGGUCCAGACUCCUACGGGAGGCAGCAGUGGGGAAUAUUGGACAAUGGACGAAAGUCUGAUCCAGCAAUGCCGCGUGAAUG
RNAcentral lists this ribosomal RNA (352 nucleotides) under uncultured bacterium. RNAcentral's name for it is "bacterial SSU rRNA". It matches the Rfam family "Bacterial small subunit ribosomal RNA", at positions 29 to 407 of the family's 1533-position model. The record is from RNAcentral.